RNA transcript from Eriocheir sinensis (Chinese mitten crab), 1094 nucleotides. RefSeq lists it as uncharacterized. The record is from RefSeq and is a predicted model, not a curated record. NCBI's taxonomy places the organism in Eukaryota, Metazoa, Arthropoda, Malacostraca, Decapoda, Varunidae. The transcript has 4 exons.
GAUCGCCAAAAACUUCAACGCCAUGCACCCUGAUCUGGAGCCGCGAUCAGUUCAACAAUUGAAAAGAAGUUUCAACCGCAUCAAAUUGAAUGUGAAAAAGGAAGAGAGAGCCUACAAGCUGAAGGUGAAGAGGACUGGUGGUGCCCCUCCUCCAUCACCUCCCAAGUUUACAGAAGAACAUGAGACUGUUGCCUCCAUGAUCUCUGGAGAACUCAACAUGGGCGAGGAUGUCUUUGACACUCUUGCCAUUCAAGAUGGGCAUCCAGUGGAUGAGGCAGGCACUCCCAUCAUGGAUGUUACUUUCACUGUGAGUGGAAAACUGCCACCGACAGAGGUCCCCUCUGCUACUUCUGCCGCUGAAUGUGCUGAAGCACCUGCACCUCCUAGUGCUUCUACAUCUUUCCAGCCAGAAGCUUCAUCCUCUGCAUCCACUGCACCAUCACUAACUACAUUUACAUGUAAUGUGGCCUCCUCUUCUGCUGCCCCACGGCAGAGGAGGAAAUUUGAUGCAGAGUACCAGGCCUGUCGGAAGCAGCAGGAUGAGUAUCACCAACUCCUUCUUCAACAUACCAGAGAGGAGCACGACCAACAGAUGAAACUGUACCAGUUUCACAGGGAGGUGUUGCAGCGGCAGCUAGAUGUCUUCACGGAGACUUGGCAUCAUAUCCGUGAGGCAGCAGACACCUGCAAAGCCAAAUUUUUGGACAGUUUGGGGAAUGCCGGAGAGUAACAUCCAUGAUGGGAUUGCCUGCCUCAUCAACUGCAUGCCCAUCUUGUAUUGUAAGAGUGUCAAGGACACACUCGCCCAUACUGAGUUCUCCAGAAAUCAUGGAGGCAACGGCCUCGUGUUCUUCGGAAAGCUUGGGAGGUGAUUGAGGAGGGCCACCACCAGUCUUCUUCACCGUUAGCAUACAUUGAACUCCAUCUGCCACUUCCCUGCCCAUUCACGCAAUCUGUCUAGUUCAUCCUGGAGAAUACUAGCGACCCGAUCCGACUCAAUUACUCUGCCAAUCUCUGUAUCAUCAGCAUUUUAGCAUAUAUUGCCAACAUUAACUAGUGUUAGUAGUAGUAGUUGUAGUAGGAAAUACAUUAUA